CCCAGGCUGGACAUGCUGACUGUCCCUUCCCCUCUGGCCUUUGGCCUCGGCUUUUCUAGCCUAUUUACCCGCAGGCUGAGCCACUCUCUUCCCUUUCCCCAGCAUCACUCCCCAAGGAAGAGCCAAGAUUUUCCACCCAUAAUCCUUUUUGCUGACCCCUAGUUCCCUCUGCUCAGCCAAGCUUGUAUCAGCUCUCAGGGUCAUGGUUAGAAUAAAAGGUAGUAAGUAGAA
Mandrillus leucophaeus (drill) is the source of this 231-nucleotide long non-coding RNA. RefSeq lists it as uncharacterized. The transcript is spliced from 3 exons. NCBI's taxonomy places the organism in Eukaryota, Metazoa, Chordata, Mammalia, Primates, Cercopithecidae. The record is from RefSeq and is a predicted model, not a curated record.